Humulus lupulus (European hop) is the source of this 365-nucleotide long non-coding RNA. RefSeq lists it as uncharacterized. Lineage: Eukaryota; Viridiplantae; Streptophyta; Magnoliopsida; Rosales; Cannabaceae. The transcript is spliced from 3 exons. The record is from RefSeq and is a predicted model, not a curated record.
AGGUGUUUAAGUUUCUUGAAAACUUAAGGUUCUUCUCGGAGUGUUCCAAUCCCGUUCUUGUUCUCAAAUAUCCUGGAUUUUGCUUGAUGCAGGAAAAUGAAUAUGGAAGGCGGAAAGAUUCAUGACUGCUUGGCUUGUGUGUUAAGGAUGAAUGGAUUGAAUGGACUGCGUGUCGAUCGAGGAUGACAUUAUUUUUAAGUCUUUUAAAUUGUGUUUUGAUGUAAUUCCACUAUUAGUAUUUUAAACAAUUAAAGUCUAUGUUUUAUAACAAUGGGUACCCAUACCGUAUUUUACAUUUCAUAUUUUACUUUGUAUUUUGCACAAUAUUUAUUUUGGGGUAUUAAAUAAAGUUAUGUUAUUUCUUA